GGUGGAGGUUGAAGGAUACAGGUGGUGCAUGGUUGUCGUCAGCUCGUGUCGUGAGAUGUGGGUUAAGUCCCGCAACGAGCGCAACCCUUGUCUUUAGUUACCAUCAUUAAGUUGGGGGACUCUAGAGAGACUGCCGGUGAUAAACCGGAGGAAGGUGGGGAUGACGUCAAAUCAUCAUGCCCCUUAUGGCCUGGGCUACAAACGUAAUACAAUGGCGUAUACAAAGGGAUGCGAAAGAGCGAUCUGGAGCAAAACUCAUAAAGUACGUCUCAGUUCGGAUUGAAGUCUGCAACUCGACUUCAUGAAGCUGGAAUCGCUAGUAAUCGCGGAUCAGCAUGCCGCGGUGAAUACGUUCUCGGGUUU
RNAcentral lists this ribosomal RNA (363 nucleotides) under uncultured Erysipelothrix sp. RNAcentral's name for it is "bacterial SSU rRNA". It matches the Rfam family "Bacterial small subunit ribosomal RNA", at positions 1019 to 1381 of the family's 1533-position model. Lineage: Bacteria; Bacillati; Bacillota; Erysipelotrichia; Erysipelotrichales; Erysipelotrichaceae. The record is from RNAcentral.